Molecule: ribosomal RNA, 253 nt
Filed under: uncultured bacterium
Lineage: Bacteria
Description: partial 16S ribosomal RNA
Rfam family: Bacterial small subunit ribosomal RNA
Source: RNAcentral
UACGUAGGGGGCAAGCGUUGUCCGGAUUCAUGGGGCGUAAAGAGCGUGUAGGCGGCCAGGUAGGUCGGUUGUGAAAACUGGAGGCUCAACCUUCAGAGGUCGACCGAAACCAUCUGGCUAGAGUCCGGGAGAGGAGAGUGGAAUUCCUGGUGUAGCGGUGAAAUGCGCAGAUAUCAGGAAGAACACCCGUGGCGAAAGCGGCUCUCUGGAACGGUACUGACGCUGAGACGCGAAAGCGUGGGGAGCGAACAGG